AGGACAGGAAAUAAAGUAGGAGUCUAUGGGGUAGCCCUGCUCUGCAGGAGCAGUCAGGGAACUAUAAUACCACCAGAGAUAUAACACUGCCUGUUCAAUAAAACUGUUUUCUUCUACCUCUGGCAAAGGGAGAAGCCAAUUCUGCUGAACUUAAAAAGGGAUACCUAAAAGGCCCGGUUAGAAUUAUCAGGAAACAAAUGUGGUAUGAUCUGAUCUCAGCUGGAGUAGGCAAAGAAAAAAUAGAUCAGCAACCCAAUGCCAGAAUAGUGGGCCUUUGAAAAACCUGAUUCUUGAUCAACAGCUUAGAC
This 308-nucleotide long non-coding RNA is filed under the name Homo sapiens (human). RNAcentral describes it as "non-protein coding lnc-FAM114A1-2:1". Lineage: Eukaryota; Metazoa; Chordata; Mammalia; Primates; Hominidae. The record is from RNAcentral.